This 311-nucleotide ribosomal RNA is filed under the name Parasetigena bicolor. RNAcentral describes it as "partial 12S rRNA". Lineage: Eukaryota; Metazoa; Arthropoda; Insecta; Diptera; Tachinidae. The record is from RNAcentral.
UAAGGUAGUAGUAGUUAUGAUCUUGAAACUUAAAAAAUUUGGCGGUAUUUUAGUCUAUUCAGAGGAACCUGUUUUAUAAUCGAUAAUCCACGAUGGACCUUACUUAAAUUUGUUAUCAGUUUAUAUACCGUCGUUAUUAGAAUAUUUUAUAAGAAUUUUAAUUUUCAUAAUUUUAUAAAAGAAAAUAUAUCAGAUCAAGGUGUAGCUUAUAUUUAAGUAAAAAUGGGUUACAAUAAAAUUAUUUAUAUGGAUAUAAAUUUGAAAUAUUUAUUGAAAGUGGAUUUGAUAGUAAAAUUAUAUAGAUUAAUAAU